ACAUUGCAGCCCGACUUGAACGGGGCUCUUUUUUAUUGUUGUCUGAGCGGAGUCGAAGACAAUAAUAAAAAAAGCGGGAGUGGAAGGCGGAAUUGUCU
Molecule: unclassified non-coding RNA, 98 nt
Filed under: Kaistella jeonii
Lineage: Bacteria; Pseudomonadati; Bacteroidota; Flavobacteriia; Flavobacteriales; Weeksellaceae
Description: Chryseobacterium jeonii Flavo-1 RNA
Source: RNAcentral